UGAGGUCCUUCGGUGGCCGCGGAUCCGCCCAAGGCGGAUCUGAGGAACUUCCGGGCUCCACAGGGCACGAUGGCGGAUAACGUCCGCCCAGGGCGACCUGAGAGACAGCGCAACAGAGAACAGACCGCCUGGCCGUAAGGCCAGGUAAGGGUGAAACGGCGGUGCAAGAGACCACCGGGCCCCUGGCAACAGUGGGUCGCAUGGCAAGCCUCAUCGGGAGCAAGGCCAAGCAGAAGGCAUCAAGAGCUGCCCGCUCAAGCCUUCGGGUAGGCUGCUAGAGCCUGGCGGCGACGCUAGGUCGAGAUGGAUGGCCAUCCGGGCGCUUCGGCGCACGACAGAACCCGGGGUAUGAGGGACCUCAACAC
Bifidobacterium subtile is the source of this 365-nucleotide non-coding RNA. It matches the Rfam family "Bacterial RNase P class A". From Rfam's summary of the family: Ribonuclease P (RNase P) is a ubiquitous endoribonuclease, found in archaea, bacteria and eukarya as well as chloroplasts and mitochondria. The record is from Rfam. NCBI's taxonomy places the organism in Bacteria, Bacillati, Actinomycetota, Actinomycetes, Bifidobacteriales, Bifidobacteriaceae.